CUUCACCCGCAAAAAAUAUACAGUUCUCCACAGGCCUGCCCAAUAUGUCAUAAUCUUCUCCAGACGACCCUACAGCCACAUAAGAGUAAGCCCCGUAGCUAUAAGGAUCUUUUCCCCAGUCGGUGACCACGGAAGCAACUGGAUCAGGUACCCUGUUCUCACCAUGACCCGACAGCCACAUAAGAGUAAGCCCCGUAGCUAUAAGGAUCUUUUCCCCAGUCAGUGACCACAGAAGCAACUGGAUCAGGUACCCUGUUCUCACCAUAAAGCUUGCGCAGAACCAGUAAUGAAUGCUUUACAUGGUCAGAGGAGCUCAUCUCCUGGCCAUCUAUAGCAGCUUUUCCAACCACUAACGCUAUAAGAACAGGUGCCCCAACAGUUUUCUUGACAUUCC
Molecule: long non-coding RNA, 394 nt
Filed under: Nicotiana benthamiana
Lineage: Eukaryota; Viridiplantae; Streptophyta; Magnoliopsida; Solanales; Solanaceae
Description: long non-coding RNA (NBEN_LNC007129)
Source: RNAcentral